Molecule: ribosomal RNA, 352 nt
Filed under: uncultured bacterium
Lineage: Bacteria
Description: bacterial SSU rRNA
Rfam family: Bacterial small subunit ribosomal RNA
Source: RNAcentral
AGAGUUUGAUUCUGGCUCAGGACGAACGCUGGCGGCGUGCCUAAUACAUGCAAGUCGAGCGAGCUGAACCAACAGAUUCACUUCGGUGAUGACGUUGGGAACGCGAGCGGCGGAUGGGUGAGUAACACGUGGGGAACCUGCCCCAUAGUCUGGGAUACCACUUGGAAACAGGUGCUAAUACCGGAUAAGAAAGCAGAUCGCAUGAUCAGCUUAUAAAAGGCGGCGUAAGCUGUCGCUAUGGGAUGGCCCCGCGGUGCAUUAGCUAGUUGGUAGGGUAACGGCCUACCAAGGCAAUGAUGCAUAGCCGAGUUGAGAGACUGAUCGGCCACAUUGGGACUGAGACACGGCCCAA